RNAcentral lists this ribosomal RNA (510 nucleotides) under uncultured bacterium. Its description in RNAcentral is "partial 16S ribosomal RNA". It matches the Rfam family "Bacterial small subunit ribosomal RNA", at positions 28 to 507 of the family's 1533-position model. The record is from RNAcentral.
GACGAACGCUGGCGGCGUGCUUAACACAUGCAAGUCGAACGAAGAGCGAUGGACGCUUGCUUCUAUCAAUCUUAGUGGCGAACGGGUGAGUAACGCGUAAUCAACCUGCCCUUCAGAGGGGGACAACAGUUGGAAACGACUGCUAAUACCGCAUACGAUCUAAUCUCGGCAUCGAGGAUAGAUGAAAGGUGGCCUCUACAUGUAAGCUAUCACUGAAGGUGGGGAUUGCAUCUGAUUAGCUAGUUGGAGGGGUAACGGCCCACCAAGGCGAUGAUCAGUAGCCGGUCUGAGAGGAUGAACCGCCACAUUGGGACUGAGACACGGCCCAGACUCCUACGGGAGGCAGCAGUGGGGAAUCUUCCGCAAUGGACGAAAGUCUGACGGAGCAACGCCGCGUGAGUGAUGACGGCCUUCGGGUUGGAAAGCUCUGUUAAUCGGGACGAAAGGCCUUCUUGCGAAUAGUGAGAAGGAUUGACGGUACCGGAAUAGAAAGCCACGGCUAACUACGUG